Molecule: ribosomal RNA, 484 nt
Filed under: uncultured bacterium
Lineage: Bacteria
Description: partial 16S ribosomal RNA
Rfam family: Bacterial small subunit ribosomal RNA
Source: RNAcentral
AUUGAACGCUGGCGGCAGGCCUAACACAUGCAAUUCGAGCGGAUGUAGUUAUCUUGCUCCUGUAUUCAGCGGCGGACGGGUGAGUAAUGCCUAGGAAUCUGCCUGCUAGUGGGGGAUAACGUCCGGAAACGGGCGCUAAUACCGCAUACGUCCUGAGGGAGCAAGUGGGGGUUCUUCGGACCUCACGCUAUCAGAUGAGCCUAGGUCGGAUUAGCUAGUUGGUGGGGUAAAGGCCUACCAAGGCGACGAUCCGUAACUGGUCUGAGAGGAUGAUCAGUCACACUGGAACUGAGACACGGUCCAGACUCCUACGGGAGGCAGCAGUGGGGAAUAUUGGACAAUGGGCGAAAGCCUGAUCCAGCCAUGCCGCGUGUGUGAAGAAGGUCUUCGGAUUGUAAAGCACUUUAAGUUGGGAGGAAGGGCAGUAAGUUAAUACCUUGCUGUUUUGACGUUACCAACAGAAUAAGCACCGGCUAACUUCGUG